This 21-nucleotide non-coding RNA is filed under the name Arabidopsis thaliana (thale cress). Lineage: Eukaryota; Viridiplantae; Streptophyta; Magnoliopsida; Brassicales; Brassicaceae. The record is from RNAcentral.
AACCACUAUGGCCUGCUGGUC